This 1083-nucleotide ribosomal RNA is filed under the name Triticum aestivum (bread wheat). RNAcentral's name for it is "partial small subunit ribosomal RNA". Lineage: Eukaryota; Viridiplantae; Streptophyta; Magnoliopsida; Poales; Poaceae. The record is from RNAcentral.
AUGGCCUCCUUCCCCGCUGAUUUACUUGGCACCCACAUCACCCUUCUCCGCCUGAAGGAAACCACGACCAUGCCACCACUUGCUAUGACCGCCUGGUGGAGAUCGAGGCCAAGAACUUCCCCCUCGAGCUAUGGCACCCAUAGGGCGCAAACUUUGUGUUCGACCACUUUGGGGUUCUCUGCUGCAUCGACCAGAACAUGCUCUCCCAUGGUGACUUCACGAUGGUGCGUGCCUUUGUCCGUGUCAAGAGUGACAACGACACGCCGGACGGCUGCAUCCCCCGGCUGCCCCCUACCUAGGUCGUUGACGUUAAGCUUUGCCACGUCAAGACAUGGGAUGUCUUUGAGGAUCUCUCUAUCCCUCUCAAUGAUGACAACGACGACGAUGAGUUCCACGACCCGCACAUCCAUGGCGCGUGGCGGUGGAAUUGUAACCGCGUUGGGUCCUGCCAACGUUAUGCCACCUCCCUCAUCGUCUGGUUUCUCCUUCAGGGCCAACGAUGUCAACGUGUUGCAUCCGCUCGUGGGUGGGCCUCUGCUUCCUCGAGCUGCACCACUCAUCGAUGCUUUUGUCGACCCCGACAUCGACCUCUCCCCUGUCAACGACGAGCAAGAGGGGGACCUGACCAACCUGGCAGACGAGCACUCCGCGAUCUCGCCUGCUAUCACCAUCUCCAACUCCUUCUCCUCACUCGCGGUCAAUGACGACGACAUUGGGCUUCCUGUCUCGCCCGAUAAUGCUCAGUCUCCUAGCUCCUUGUUACUUGUUUCAGUUACUUCUGCCCUGCUAAUUAACCUCUCUAUCCCCUCCCCUCCCUUACCCACAGCCUCGCUCACCUGCCCUGGCCAUGAGGCUAGCCUGUGGCGUGCUCAUGUUGCUGAGAAGAGGGUUGUGGACGCGGAGAAGCUCCGCCAUAGCCAUCGGCUUGCUGACAAGACCUCCAAGGCGGGGGGCACCUUUGUCGACAUGACCACCAAGGCCAUGCGCGCCAAAGCUUGCUGCUUCGACCUUCAGUUGGCCUCGACGGACCUCGCUCCGCCCUUGAUGACUCUGGCCUCACCAGCGUGCCGGAGGAGUCGAUGA